RNAcentral lists this ribosomal RNA (641 nucleotides) under Bacteroides fragilis. Its description in RNAcentral is "partial 23S ribosomal RNA". It matches the Rfam family "Bacterial large subunit ribosomal RNA", at positions 1 to 654 of the family's 2925-position model. The record is from RNAcentral. Lineage: Bacteria; Pseudomonadati; Bacteroidota; Bacteroidia; Bacteroidales; Bacteroidaceae.
AAGAAAGUAAAUAAGGGCGCAUGGCGGAUGCCUUGGCUCUCGGAGGCGAUGAAGGACGUGAUAAGCUGCGAUAAGCUUCGGGUAGGUGCAAAUAACCUUUGAUCCGAAGAUUUCCGAAUGGGACAACCCGGCAUUCUGAAGGAAUGUCAUCCAACCAAGUUGGAGGCUAACGCAGGGAACUGAAACAUCUUAGUACCUGCAGGAAAAGAAAAUAAAUAAUGAUUCCCCUAGUAGUGGCGAGCGAACGGGGAAUAGCCCAAACCACCCGUGUUACGGCAUGUGUGGGGUUGUAGGACCACGCUCUCGCAAGAAAGUUAUUGAGAAGAAGCGGCUGGAAAGCCGCGCCAUAGACGGUGAUAGCCCGGUAUUCCAAGGUAACUGAAGCGUAGUGGUAUCCUGAGUAGCGCGGAGCACGAGGAAUUCUGCGUGAACCAGCCGGGACCAUCCGGUAAGGCUAAAUACUCCCGAGAGACCGAUAGCGAACCAGUACUGUGAAGGAAAGGUGAAAAGCACUUCGAAUAGAAGAGUGAAAUAGUCCCUGAAACCAUGUGCCUACAAGCGGUCGGAGCAGCGUAAGCUGUGACGGCGUGCCUUUUGCAUAAUGAACCUACGAGUUACUUUUUCCGGCAAGGUUAAGCAUC